RNAcentral lists this small nuclear RNA (144 nucleotides) under Vigna radiata var. radiata (mung bean). RNAcentral describes it as "snRNA U1". It matches the Rfam family "U1 spliceosomal RNA". Rfam says of the family: U1 is a small nuclear RNA (snRNA) component of the spliceosome (involved in pre-mRNA splicing). Its 5' end forms complementary base pairs with the 5' splice junction, thus defining the 5' donor site of an intron. There are significant differences in sequence and secondary structure between metazoan and yeast U1 snRNAs, the latter being much longer (568 nucleotides as compared to 164 nucleotides in human). Lineage: Eukaryota; Viridiplantae; Streptophyta; Magnoliopsida; Fabales; Fabaceae. The record is from RNAcentral.
CUACUUGUGGCAGCAUAUGUCUAUAUUCAUUAUAUCAAAUUCGAAUUCGGUUCUUGAGAAGGGUGUUGUUCUAAGGUCUGUCCAAGUGGCAGAAUCUACGUCAUAAUUUGUGGUAGAGGGGGCCUGCGUCCGUGCGGCCCCUAC